This 1636-nucleotide ribosomal RNA is filed under the name Proctophyllodes microstylifer. RNAcentral describes it as "eukaryotic LSU rRNA". It matches the Rfam family "Eukaryotic large subunit ribosomal RNA", at positions 42 to 1443 of the family's 3401-position model. Lineage: Eukaryota; Metazoa; Arthropoda; Arachnida; Sarcoptiformes; Proctophyllodidae. The record is from RNAcentral.
AUAAAUAAGCGGAGGAAAAGAAACCAAACGGGAUUCCCUUAGUAACGGCGAGCGAAAAGGGAAAUGUCCAGCGCCAAGUCUUGACAUGUAAUGGUGUUCAAGAGAUGCGGCGUUAAUGUAUCGACCCAUCAUGCAUUGUUCCACAUUUCAAGUUCCUACGACCGGGACUUCCAGAGCGGGUGUAAGACCCAUAGAGAUGAGGAACCGGGUGUAUGCUGAGCGAUGCAUUCUAGAGUCAGGUUGCUUGAGAGUGCAGCUUAAAGUCGGUGGUAAACUCCAUCCAAGACUAAAUAYUACAGCGAGACCGAUAGCAAACAAGUACCGUGAGGGAAAGUUGCAAAGCACUUUGAAGAGAGAGUUCAAAAGUACGUGAAACCACUGGGAGGCAAACAGAUGGAACCACGAAGUGUGCGCCUCGGUCGAUUCAAUCAUCACUUUCUAUCAAUUGUAGUUGAUCAGGAUCUUUUCGGAGRUUGAUUCUCUACAAUUCUGACCGAAGGUGUUGGUGCAUUUCGUGCCGGGGAUGCAAAGCCACGUUCAACUAGCGGGUUGGGACGGCUGUAAGAAAGAAUCCGAGAAAGGUGACCGUCAAGUGCUUGCAUUUGACGGCGUUAUAGUCUUGGAUUGGCACCGUCACCUAACAUACUGGUUGAUGGAAAUUCUCCAUUCGGAGUUGAACCAUAUCUGCCUGUGAUUGUUAGUCGAUGUUGCGUAAAGUUCUUUGCGUAUCUUUCGAUGCGAAAAGGCUUUGCAAAAAUGUCGGCUAAUGGUUGCUUGCGUGAUAUGGUGGAACUGUGGCGUGAGUAGGUCGGUCUCCAUCUGACCCGUCUUGAAACACGGACCAAGGAGCCUAUCAUAUACGCGAGUCGCUCGGUCUUGUUUAGGCCUGGGAGGCGUAAUGAAAGUAAAGUUACGAGGCUUCGGCUGCAGUAACGGCUCGCCUACUUUGUUUAUUGGCAAUAUGGCGAAGCUGGAGCGUAUACGAUGGUACCCGAAAGAUGGUGAACUAUGCCUGGGCAAGACGAAGCCAGAGGAAACUCUGGUGGAGGUCUGUAGCGAUUCUGACGUGCAAAUCGAUCGUCAGACCUGGGUAUAGGGGCGAAAGACUAAUCGAACCAUCUAGUAGCUGGUUCCCUCCGAAGUUUCCCUCAGGAUAGCAGGCAUUUAUAAUGUGCAGUCUCAUCCGGUAAAGCUAAUGAUUAGAGGUCUUGGGGUUGAAACGACCUCAACCUAUUCUCAAACUUUAAAUGGGUGAGAUGGUUGACUUUCUUGAUUUGAAGCCAACCAUUUGGAUGCAAAUGCCUAGUGGGCCAUUUUUGGUAAGCAGAACUGGCGCUGUGGGAUGAACCAAACGUCGAGAUAAGGCAUCAAAUGCGUACGCUCAUCAGACCCCAUGAAAGGUGUUGGUUGCUAUAGACAGCAGGACGGUGGCCAUGGAAGUCGGAAUCCGCUAAGGAGUGUGUAACAACUCACCUGCCGAAGCAACUAGCCCUGAAAAUGGACGAUGCUGUAGCGUGGAGCCGAUACUCGACCGUUGUAAUGAWUAUUUGUCAAAUGAGAUAUUACAACGAGUAGGAGGGCCGCAAUGUUAGCAUUGAAGGUGUCCGGCGUAAGCCGGCCUGGAGCUAUCAUUGUU